GCCAGGGUGAUGGAACUGGUAGACAUGCUGCGCUUAGAACGCAGUGCUUCGUGCGUGCAGGUUCAAGUCCUGUCCCUGGUACCA
This 84-nucleotide transfer RNA is filed under the name Patescibacteria group bacterium. Its description in RNAcentral is "tRNA-Leu". It matches the Rfam family "tRNA". Rfam says of the family: Transfer RNA (tRNA) molecules are approximately 80 nucleotides in length. Their secondary structure includes four short double-helical elements and three loops (D, anti-codon, and T loops). The record is from RNAcentral.